ACUUGACUCCUGCGGGACGCCAGGGAAAGGGGCGGCCCUUCCCGGCGGGGCCGCCAUGCUGCGAGCCCUGCUGCGGCGCUGGGCGUCCUACAGGUACCGCUUCGUGCCCUGGAUCGCGCUGCACCUCCGCCACAAGCGCAGGUGAGGGGGCCGGGGGCCCGCGCUCCCCAGCCAGGCCCAGCGCCCCGGGAAUGAGGGGGGAGUUUGUCCCCGGGAAGCCGCCUGCAAUGGAAACAAACCGGCCCCGGCUGCAGAGCGCGCGACCGAAACGCAGCGGUUCUGCUAGAGGGCCCUUAAUCCUCUCGGCUGCUGCUGACCGCCACCUGAUCCCAUCAGAUCCCAUUCCCAGCCCGGGCUGUGUGGAGGUAAACGCGGGGAUCGGCUUCUCUCUUGCCUCCCCCAAAUCGACAUCAUACAAGUGCGGCUCGGCAGUGAGUUUAUGCCUCAGGACCAUCCGAUACGUACCAGAAAAGUCCAAAGACAAAAUUAUCUCUGAUGAAGAUGUCCUUGAAACACUGCUGAAAAUCUUUAAAGCUCUGUUCAUAAAUAACUUUAGUAGACAAAUGGACUUCCUUGCCUUACUUCCAGAAGUUAAAUCCGAAUAUCUGAAAUUACUGACUAUUCAGUAUAAGAGAUCAAAAACAACUGGUUACAACCAUCAAAGUCAAAAUAUCUUUAAUCCAGAAGAAGUUCUGUUUAAUACAUUAGGGUUCAGUAUUACUCGAGAUCGGAGUUCACUGAUUUCUGCUGGAACAGGAGUCUUUGUUACCAAAGGUUUUGUGCCAAAAGGGGCCGUUGUAUCUAUGUAUCCUGGUACAGUAUAUCAAAAGUAUGAGCCCAUCUUUUUCCAGUCCAUUGGCAAUCCAUUUAUUUUUAGAUGCAUAGAUGGUGUACUUAUUGAUGGGAAUGAUAAAGGAAUAUCAAAAGCGGUGUACAGAUCAUGCAGCAAGAGGGAUCAACUUGGUCCUUUUCAAAUGAGUGACAUCACUUGGCUCACACCUGCUGUGCAAAAUCCACUGGCAAUAGGGCAGUAUGUUAACAACUGUUCACACAGUAAGUUGGAAGACAAGGCAGCCAACGUCUGUUAUCAGGAGUUUGAUGUGCCUGAAUAUUUUCCAAUAGAACUGAAACAGUAUCUUCCGAACAUCACCUACAGCCAUGACAUGCCUAUGGUUCUCUGCAGGACUGCACAAAGGAUGAUGUGAAUCCUGUUGUCCUGCCCCACUCAGUCUCCUUAACAGUGAACAGCAACUUCUACAGAGUUUGUAGAUGCGUCUGAGCCUCCCUCUUCCACACAGAGAAGUUGGAGAGGAAGAACUGCAUGUGGAUAUGCAUCAGUCAUCUAAGGGCCCCAGCAAAGACUUCUCACAAAGCACCUGCAACCCAGCCCCUACCAAACGCUACCCAGCUGUUGGGACCAUAGAAUUAAGUAAACAGGACAAACCUGGGCUCGAACUUCCAAAGGAAGCCUGGAAUAUAAAGGAGAAAGAGGAAGAGAUGUUAGAUGGAUGCGCUGCAACUAGAAAUCAGGGAAGGAAUCCUAC
This is an RNA transcript of Chrysemys picta bellii (western painted turtle), 1544 nucleotides long. It is a transcript of the gene named SET domain containing 9, with no coding region annotated. The record is from RefSeq and is a predicted model, not a curated record. NCBI's taxonomy places the organism in Eukaryota, Metazoa, Chordata, Testudines, Emydidae.